CGCAUCUGUGCAUGCAGCAUAUCAAUAAGCGGAGGAAAAGAAACUAACAAGGAUUCCCUUAGUAACGGCGAGUGAAGCGGGAAGAGCUCAAAUUUGAAAUCUUGAAAGGUCACCUUUCACGAAUUGUAGUUUAAAGAAGUGUUUUCUGUUACGAUCGUAAUAUAAGUUCUUUGGAAUAGGACAUCACAGAGGGUGAGAAUCCCGUCUAUGAUUGCGAUUUGUAGCUUUGUGAUACACUUUCAAAGAGUCGGGUUGUUUGGGAAUGCAGCCCAAAACGGGAGGUAAAUUUCUUCUAAGGCUAAAUAUUGGUGAGAGACCGAUAGCGAACAAGUAUCGUGAGGGAAAGAUGAAAAGAACUUUGAAAAGAGAGUUAAAUAGUACGUGAAAUUGUCAAAAGGGAAGCGUUUAACACCAGUGUUGUUUUCUGAAAAUCAACCUCUGUUAGCUUUAUGCAUGUUUGUUUAGACCUAAUCAGCUAUCUUGCAUGUUCUAUUGUUUGCAGUGGUGCACUUUUCAGUUUACAGGUCAACAUCAGUUUUUUUUACCGUAAAAAAGUUAAAGAAAGGUAGCUCACUGGCUCCGGUCGUGAGUGUUAUAGUCUUUUUCCUAUGCGGUAGGAGAGACUGAGGUCUGCAGUGUAGGCUAUUUGGCUAGAUACUCAGGUGCUAUGUGAUACCAUUUCAUAAACAACUUGUUGAUUAUGUUUUGUCUAUUGCAUACUCGCUUGUACUAUCAUACCUACGCUUAGGAUGUUGACGAUCAGCUGAGCGCG
RNAcentral lists this ribosomal RNA (772 nucleotides) under uncultured Neocallimastigales. RNAcentral describes it as "partial large subunit ribosomal RNA". It matches the Rfam family "Eukaryotic large subunit ribosomal RNA", at positions 26 to 634 of the family's 3401-position model. The record is from RNAcentral. Lineage: Eukaryota; Fungi; Neocallimastigomycota; Neocallimastigomycetes; Neocallimastigales.